AGUGAACGCUGGCGGCGUGCCUAAUACAUGCAAGUCGAACGGAGAUUAAGUAGCUUGCUAUUUAAUCUUAGUGGCGCACGGGUGAGUAAUAUAUAGCUAACUUGCCCAUUACUAAGGGACAACAGUUGGAAACGACUGCUAAUACCUUAUACUCCGUAUCUAUAUAAGUAGAUACGGGAAAGUUUUUCGGUAAUGGAUAGGGCUAUAUCGUAUCAGCUCGUUGGUAAGGUAAUGGCUUACCAAGGCUAUGACGCGUAACUGGUCCGGGAGGAUGAUCAGUCACGCAGGAACUGAGACACGGUCCAGAUUCCUACGGGAGGCGGCAGGAGGGAAUAUUGAUCAAGGGGAGAAAGCCGGAAGCAGCAACGCCGCGUGGAGGAGGACACUUUGCGGAGCGUAAACUCCUUUUCUUGGGAAAGAAUUAUGACGGUACCCAAGGAAGAAGCACCGGCUAACUCCGUG
This 462-nucleotide ribosomal RNA is filed under the name uncultured bacterium. RNAcentral's name for it is "partial 16S ribosomal RNA". It matches the Rfam family "Bacterial small subunit ribosomal RNA", at positions 29 to 507 of the family's 1533-position model. The record is from RNAcentral.